This 397-nucleotide ribosomal RNA is filed under the name uncultured bacterium. Its description in RNAcentral is "partial 16S ribosomal RNA". It matches the Rfam family "Bacterial small subunit ribosomal RNA", at positions 523 to 918 of the family's 1533-position model. The record is from RNAcentral.
AUACGUAGGGGGCGAGCGUUGUCCGGAAUGAUUGGGCGUAAAGGGCGCGUAGGCGGCCCGGUAAGUCUGGAGUGAAAGUCCUGUUUUUAAGAUGGGAAUUGCUUUGGAUACUGUCGGGCUUGAGUGCAGGAGAGGUAAGUGGAAUUCCCAGUGUAGCGGUGAAAUGCGGUGAGAUUGGGAGGAACACCAGUGGCGAAGGCGACUUACUGGACUGUAACGGACGCUGACGCGCGAAAGUUGGGGGAGCAAACAGGAUUAGAUACCCUGGUAGUCCACACUGGAAACGAUGAAUGCUAGGUGUAGGGUGUAUCGACCCCUUCUGUGCCGCAGGCAACACAAUAAGCAUUCAGCCUGGGGAGUACGGCCGCAAGGUUGAUACUCCCAGGAAUUGACGGGG